GCUAAGAUGGCAGAGCCCGGUAAUUGCAAAAGGCCUAAACCCUUUUAUUCAGAGGUUCAACCCCUCUUCUUGGCU
This 75-nucleotide transfer RNA is filed under the name Monacoa niger. RNAcentral describes it as "Monacoa sp. JYP-2016b tRNA-Leu (UUR)". It matches the Rfam family "tRNA". Rfam says of the family: Transfer RNA (tRNA) molecules are approximately 80 nucleotides in length. Their secondary structure includes four short double-helical elements and three loops (D, anti-codon, and T loops). The record is from RNAcentral. Lineage: Eukaryota; Metazoa; Chordata; Actinopteri; Argentiniformes; Opisthoproctidae.